Molecule: microRNA precursor, 112 nt
Filed under: Marmota monax (woodchuck)
Lineage: Eukaryota; Metazoa; Chordata; Mammalia; Rodentia; Sciuridae
Source: RNAcentral
AAAAUAACCCUUUUUACUCUAAACUUUUUAAAUUUGGACACAUAUGUCUUUCUGCAGCACUAAGUCCUGAUGAAUCCAAAUUUAAAAAGUUUAGAGUAAAAAGGGUUAUUUU